GAAUGUGAACUGCAGGACACAUGAACAUCGACACGUUGAACGCAAAUGGCGCAUCGGCUCGCCUCAAAACGACCGAUGCACACAUCCUUGAGUGUCU
Molecule: non-coding RNA, 97 nt
Organism: Anopheles minimus
Lineage: Eukaryota; Metazoa; Arthropoda; Insecta; Diptera; Culicidae
Source: Rfam